UUCCGGGAUACCGCUGGGCCAGAUCCAGC
This 29-nucleotide small RNA is filed under the name Bombyx mori (domestic silkworm). RNAcentral's name for it is "ovarian small RNA-37226". Lineage: Eukaryota; Metazoa; Arthropoda; Insecta; Lepidoptera; Bombycidae. The record is from RNAcentral.